CCUCGGGUGGCUGCAGUGGGGGAUAUUGCACAAUGGGGGAAACCCUGAUGCAGCGACGCCGCGUGUGGGAAGACGGUCCUCUGGAUUGUAAACCACUGUCCCCAGGGACGAAAAUGACGGUACCUGGGGAGGAAGCUCCGGCUAACUACGGACCAGCAGCCGCGGUAAUACGUAGGGAGCUAGCGUUGUCCGGAAUUACUGGGUGUAAAGGGGGCGUAGGCGGGGAUGCAAGUUGGGUGUCAAAACUACCGGCUCAACUGGUAGUCGCACUCAAAACUGCAGCUCUUGAGUGAAGUAGGGGCAGGCGGAAUUGCUAGUGUAGCGGUGAAAUGCGUAGAUAUUAGGAGGAACACCAGUGGCGAAGGCGGCCUGCUGGGCUUUUACUGACGCUGAGGCUCGAAAGUGUGGGGAGCAAACAGGAUUAGAUACCCGGGUAGUC
RNAcentral lists this ribosomal RNA (439 nucleotides) under uncultured bacterium. Its description in RNAcentral is "partial 16S ribosomal RNA". It matches the Rfam family "Bacterial small subunit ribosomal RNA", at positions 339 to 795 of the family's 1533-position model. The record is from RNAcentral.